UACAAAUAUCAUAUACAAAACACAGCUGAUGGAUUUUAAAGACCUGGAAAAUGUCUGUUGUUGCUCUCUGAAUCUGGCGCACACACACACGUCAUCAUUGCGCGCCUCAACGAGUGUCACUGAGCGGCGUUUCUUUCCUAUUGAAUGGGCAGUAGAAAAAACAGAGCGUAGAAUAGUCAAACUAACCUCUCAGCCAGUCCUUUACAGGAUUUUAUUAAAAACGGCAAUAUUUUGAAAUGAUUGAUACCAUCGAAAAAGAAGAGAAUUUAAUCAGCGAGGAGGAGGCUGCGCAGUAUGAUCGUCAGAUUCGCCUCUGGGGUCUCGAUGCUCAAAAAAGACUUAGGGGAUCACGGGUGCUUCUUGUUGGUCUCCGGGGUCUUGGUGCAGAAGUAGCAAAGAACCUUAUUUUGGCUGGGGUCAAAGGACUGACUCUCCUGGACCAUGAGCAGGUGACAGAGAAGUCCAGACGUGCUCAGUUCCUGAUCCCUGUGGAUGCAGAUGGUCAGAACCAGGCCCAGGCCUCUCUGGAGAGAGCUCAGUUACUCAACCCAAUGGUGGAAGUGAAGGCAGACAUUGAUGCAGUGGAGAGCAAGCUGGAUGACUUUUUCUUCCAGUUUGAUGCGGUUUGUCUGACCAGGUGCUCCAAAGACCUCAUGGUACGAGUGGACCAGCUCUGUGCCUCCAGGAACAUUAAGGUCUUCUGUGGAGAUGUGUAUGGUUAUCAUGGAUACAUGUUCUCUGAUCUUGGCCAGGAGCAUCACUAUGUAGAAGAAAAGCCCAAAGUGGUGAAAGGGUCUAAUGAGGCCAAUGAUGGUCCUGAGGCAAAGAAACCGAAGGUUGACCCCAAUGAGACUACAAUGGUGAAAAAGACCGUCAGUUUCUGCUCUCUCAAAGCAGCACUGGAGGUUGACUGGACUAAUGAGAAGGCCAAAAACAGUCUGAAGCGCAUUCCUGUAGACUACUUCCUUCUGCAAGUGCUUCUGAAGUUUCGUACAGAUAAAGGUCGUGAUCCUCAGCCAGACAGCUUCGCUGAAGACUCUCAGCUGCUCUUGCAAAUCCGUGAUGAUGUUCUUGAGACCAUGGGCCUGAGCUCUGAACUUCUUCCCAAUACCUUUGUCAGUUACUGUUUCUCUGAGAUGGCCCCAGUGUGCGCUGUAGUCGGAGGAGUUCUUGGACAAGAGAUAGUCAAGCUUUUCAAUCUGGUUCUCCACACAACCAUGAAACCCUCCGUUUUCACUAGCUGCGAAAGUGACUUUUCUGAUGAGGCGCAGUGAGAAGCGUAUGGCAGCUGCCCUCUCCAUCAGAAUCUGGGCUAAGUCCAAAAGUUUUAUCUGUUGAUGGUGUGUAAAUGCCAGAAAUGACGAGGUAAUAUUCCGGUCACUGAUGAAAUCCAGCGGAGAGCGCCUGAAAUCUUCUCAUAUGAUUCCAUAAACCGAACAAGAUUAAAUAAGCUAAAGCACAGUGAUGUAAUCAGUCAGUCUUGAGUGGAUAAUAACACCUGGUUUAUGGACAGUAAGAGGAUCUGUUGUAGUGUAGGCCAUGUAAAAACACAUAUUUGCCCCAGUUGCACACAACAGAAUACAGUAAAUGGUAAACGUCAAUAUCUCUCUUGGAGGGUGAUGUCAUCCCGGGAUGCGGUGGGGUCUUCGUGAGGGUGGGGAUCAGGGCAGAGUGGGGUGAUGGAGUGAACGCCGUUGUCUCAGAGGCGGUGGCUGGGCAGGCCUUGAACCCACAUGGCGGUGGAGUGAAGCCAGGCUGUCUCGCCAUCUCCCUGCAUGAUGAAACAGGCUGCAAUUCGCAUAUGGCUCUCUGUUUCUCGUUGCCCCUCGCCCAUCAGUCUCUGUCGCCACAAUGGUGAACGAGUCUGAUGUGUUCGAUCAAAGCAGUUAAUUAGAGAAUUCAAGGUCUUUGGCAUGUGACGUGUCUGAAGAUUUGUUUGCAUGUGUUCGACAGGCACUGUCUCAGAGAGAUGCUCCACACAGGAACUUUUUCUUCUUCGACGGCCUGAAGGGCAGCGGGGUGGUCGACUACUUCGGAUCCAAAUAAGUGGCCCCUGGAGAACAUGGAGAGAUGUGUGGCGAUGCAUGUGUGCUCUCAAAACACCAUGGAGUUCAUCUUCUGCCAGUGGCCGCAGGCAUCAAAAUCUGUCUUUUGGACGGUACCUUUGCGUAGCAGUAUGCCACACAUCAACCGAUGCCAAGAGCAACGAGAACAUUUUGUCCACACACUCUGAAAUAUUCAUGUACACACGUUUUUUUACCAAGGUUAUGUGAUUUCUACAUUUUGUAUUAAAAUAAUAAUA
Molecule: RNA transcript, 2302 nt
Organism: Sinocyclocheilus grahami
Lineage: Eukaryota; Metazoa; Chordata; Actinopteri; Cypriniformes; Cyprinidae
Gene name: SUMO-activating enzyme subunit 1
Exons: 10
Source: RefSeq, a predicted model, not a curated record